GAUGAAGAACGUAGCAAAAUGCGAUAAGUAAUGUGAAUUGCAGAAUUCAGUGAAUCAUCGAAUCUUUGAACGCACAUUGCGCCCUCUGGUAUUCCGGAGGGCAUGCCUGUUCGAGCGUCAUUAAAACUACUCAAGCUAAGGUUUUACCUUCUGCUUGGUCUUGGGUUUGAGGAUUCAAAAUCCUCUCUCCGAAAUCCAGUGGCGAAUUGUUUGAGCUGUAGACGUAGUAAAUCAUUCUACCCGUUGCAAGCGAGAAUAAUAUUCAGCCAUAACCCCCAUACUUUUCUAGUUUGACCUCGGAUCAGGUAGGGAUACCCGCUGAACUUAAGCAUAUCAAUAAGCGGAGGA
This 348-nucleotide unclassified non-coding RNA is filed under the name soil metagenome. RNAcentral describes it as "partial contains 5.8S ribosomal RNA, internal transcribed spacer 2, and large subunit ribosomal RNA". The stretch from base 1 to 120 matches the Rfam family "5.8S ribosomal RNA", at positions 35 to 154 of the family's 154-position model. The record is from RNAcentral.